Molecule: unclassified non-coding RNA, 400 nt
Filed under: uncultured fungus
Lineage: Eukaryota; Fungi
Description: sequence contains ITS1
Source: RNAcentral
CUGGACCGGUCAUCGCCUUGGUCAAGUCGAAGAUCUUGAGCGAGAUAUGGCCGAGGAUGAUCACCGCGCUCAGCGUGAUCGGCUGGAGCAGCGGCAGAAUAAUCCUGAGGAAGACCUGCCACUCGCUUGCACCGUCUACGCGAGCGGCCUCGCGGAUCUCCUCGGGGAUGCCGCGCAGGCCGGCCAGGUACAUCGCCAUCACAUAGCCCGACAUCUGCCAGACCGCAGCCGGCACCACCGCCAGAAUACCGAUCUGCGGAUUGGUGAACCAACCCGAUUUGAGGAAACCUAACCCAAUGCCGUCAAAUAGCAGAUUGAUGCCCGACGAAGGCGACUCGAGCCAGCGCCAGGCCACACCGGUGACGAUGAACGAGAUCGCCAAGGGGAACAUGAAGAUGUU